GCUGCGUGCGACAUCGGUGCGAAGGGAGUGAGUUACCCACCCACACAGCACCAAGGUCUGUCCUUUGCAGAGACACAAGGGAGGGAGGCAGGUGCAGAGCAGCCACAGCUCUCCAGAGGGGAGAAAAGGCAGCAGCAAACCCAAACAGCACAUCAGUCAGCACUUGGCUCCCAUCACAUCUGGCAGCUCUCUGGCAUGCAGACCAGCAAUGUCAUCUGAGCCAAGCUUGAAAGAUAGCUGCUUCUGCCAUGCCUGCCUCCUCCCAGCAGAGCAUGUCCUACCCACUGGGAAGUCGUACACAGAAGAGGAGCUGAGGCUUGUACCAGCCUUCACCCUUGGAAAGUCACCUCCCCUAUGAACUCACCAUUCCUCCUCUGUGAACUCACCAAGGCUCAGAAGAGGCAGCAAGGCCCUUGUGUGCCCUCUAUCACUGCAGGAUGAACU
Molecule: long non-coding RNA, 444 nt
Organism: Pogoniulus pusillus (Red-fronted tinkerbird)
Lineage: Eukaryota; Metazoa; Chordata; Aves; Piciformes; Lybiidae
Exons: 2
Source: RefSeq, a predicted model, not a curated record